Molecule: long non-coding RNA, 715 nt
Organism: Neopelma chrysocephalum (saffron-crested tyrant-manakin)
Lineage: Eukaryota; Metazoa; Chordata; Aves; Passeriformes; Pipridae
Exons: 5
Source: RefSeq, a predicted model, not a curated record
CAUGUGCUAGUUGUGCACUGUCUUCUGCCAGUCAAUACACAGUGAGGUUUUUCUGCCUUUCUUUCAGAAUCUUUGCAUUCUGCAAUUAGUUUUCACAGAUCUUGAAAUGUUCUUAUCUAAACUUUGGCUUUCUCUGUUAAACCUGGUAAAAAGUUCAAAAAUUAUUAGAAGGUGUGGAAGAGAAUGAGCAUUUGUCAUAGAAAAGAAGACAAUAUAGCUCUCCUAGAGUUCAGAGCCUACUGUAGUGCCAGUGUGGAACACCGUGAGGCCCAAGAGGGAAUUCGCUGCAGAACAACUUUUGAAUGUAGUAGCGGACACCAAAUUUAGACAUCUAGAGGACAAUUCUCUAGUGCCAAUUAAAGCAGUUCAGAGCAUACCCAUCUCUUACUUCCUGUGCUCUGUGCUGGAGGAUGCUGAGAGGAAGUGAGAAAACACAGCUCUCCUGGUUCAAAAUUAAAACAGACCAGAUACCACACAUUUUAGAAAUUGUGUUUAGAAACAAAAUGAGGACUUGGAAGUAAACCAUUCUUUUUCAGAAGUAUGGAUCCACAUUUCCCAAACUUUUACAUUUCCUGCAAAUACCAGUGGACCAGACUUCCAGCAAAUACCUGUGGAAACUCAAAGUCUUGCACCAAGUGCUGUGGUCAACACCCCUACCACUGCAGAGAUGAAGUCCAGAGUCCAUCAAUUGCAGAAAUCAUAACUGACUCAGGAG